CAGCCGCCGCGGGAAUACGUAGGGUGCGAGCGUUAAUCGGAAUUACUGGGCGUAAAGCGUGCGCAGGCGGUUCGUUAGGACAGAUGUGAAAUCCCCGGGCUUAACCUGGGAACUGCAUUUGUGACUGGCGAGCUAGAGUAUGGCAGAGGGGGGUAGAAUUCCACGUGUAGCAGUGAAAUGCGUAGAGAUGUGGAGGAAUACCGAUGGCGAAGGCAGCCCCCUGGGCCAAUACUGACGCUCAUGCACGAAAGCGUGGGGAGCAAACAGGAUUAGAUACCCCAGUAGUCCCUGUCUCUUAUAC
RNAcentral lists this ribosomal RNA (301 nucleotides) under uncultured bacterium. RNAcentral's name for it is "partial 16S ribosomal RNA". It matches the Rfam family "Bacterial small subunit ribosomal RNA", at positions 509 to 807 of the family's 1533-position model. The record is from RNAcentral.